UGGGGAAUAUUGCGCAAUGGAGGAAACUCUGACGCAGCAACGCCGCGUGAAGGAUGAAGGCCCUCGGGUUGUAAACUUUUGUCUUUGGGGAAGAAAAAAAUGACGGUACCCAAGGAGGAAGCUCCGGCUAACUACGUGCCAGCAGCCGCGGUAAUACGUAGGGAGCAAGCGUUGUCCGGAAUUACUGGGUGUAAAGGGUGCGUAGGCGGGAUAUAAAGUCAGGUGUGAAAUACCGCAGCUUAACUGCGGGGCUGCACUUGAAACUUAUAUUCUUGAGUGAAGUAGAGGUAAGUGGAAUUCCCAGUGUAGCGGUGAAAUGCGUAGAUAUUGGGAGGAACACCAGUGGCGAAGGCGACUUACUGGGCUUUAACUGACGCUGAGGCACGAAAGCAUGGGGAGCAAACA
RNAcentral lists this ribosomal RNA (405 nucleotides) under uncultured Eubacteriales bacterium. RNAcentral's name for it is "uncultured Clostridiales bacterium partial 16S ribosomal RNA". It matches the Rfam family "Bacterial small subunit ribosomal RNA", at positions 355 to 774 of the family's 1533-position model. Lineage: Bacteria; Bacillati; Bacillota; Clostridia; Eubacteriales. The record is from RNAcentral.